This 262-nucleotide ribosomal RNA is filed under the name uncultured Streptococcus sp. Its description in RNAcentral is "partial 16S ribosomal RNA". It matches the Rfam family "Bacterial small subunit ribosomal RNA", at positions 82 to 339 of the family's 1533-position model. Lineage: Bacteria; Bacillati; Bacillota; Bacilli; Lactobacillales; Streptococcaceae. The record is from RNAcentral.
ACCGAGCGGAUGAGUUGCGAACGGGUGAGUAACGCGUAGGUAACCUGCCUGGUAGCGGGGGAUAACUAUUGGAAACGAUAGCUAAUACCGCAUAACAGUCGACAUUGCAUGAUGUUGAUUUGAAAGGGGCAAUUGCUCCAUUACCAGAUGGACCUGCGUUGUAUUAGCUAGUUGGUGAGGUAACGGCUCACCAAGGCGACGAUACAUAGCCGACCUGAGAGGGUGAUCGGCCACAUUGGGACUGAGACACGGCCCAGACUCC